Molecule: ribosomal RNA, 788 nt
Filed under: Nesogaster amoenus
Lineage: Eukaryota; Metazoa; Arthropoda; Insecta; Dermaptera; Spongiphoridae
Description: bacterial SSU rRNA
Rfam family: Eukaryotic small subunit ribosomal RNA
Source: RNAcentral
AAAUGGCUCAUUAAAUCAGUUAUGGUUCAUUAGAUGAUACAAUAUUUUACUUGGAUAACUGUGGUAAUUCUAGAGCUAAUACAUGCAAACAGAGUUCCGGCCGGUGACGGCGGGAACGCUUUUAUUAGAUCAAAACCAAUACGUUCGUUUCGGCGAACGCUUUGCUUUGGUGACUCUGAAUAACCUAUUGAUGAUCGCAUGGUCCUAGUACCGGCGACAAAUCUUUCAAAUGUCUGCCUUAUCAACUGUCGAUGGUAUGCUUUGCGCCUACCAUGGUUGUAACGGGUGACGGGGAAUCAGGGUUCGAUUCCGGAGAGGGAGCCUGAGAAACGGCUACCACAUCCAAGGAAGGCAGCNGGCGCGNAAAUUACCCACUCCNGGCNCGGGGAGGUAGUGNCNAAAAAUAACGAUNCGGGACAAGUCUGGUGCCAGCAGCUGCGGUAAUUCCAGCUCCAAUAGCGUAUAUUAAAGUUGUUGCGGUUAAAAAGCUCGUAGUUGGGACUGUGUCCCGCACUGUCGGUGCGUCAUUUAUGGUGUUUACUGACAUGCUGUGGGACGUCCUGCCGGUGGGAUUGUUGCCACCGUUUAGCGUUUUGUCUUUUUUUAAAGGGCAUAAUGCGGCGGUUCAGUAACAUUCUCUUGUCACCCAUCGCGGUGCUCUUUAUGAGUGUCGUGGCGGGCCGGCACGUUUACUUUGAACAAAUUAGAGUGCUAAAAGCAGGCUACACGCCUGAAUAUUGUGUGCAUGGAAUAAUAGAAUAGGACCUCGGUUCUAUUUUGUUGGUUUU